UUUAUUAUUAAUAUUUUGCAAUUAAAUUAUUAAUAAUUUAAUUGGGGUGAUAAAAAAAGAAUAAGUAUCUUUUUAAUUGUAAAAUAAGUUCCGUUUUUAGCGAUUAAAUGAAAAAAAUACUCUAGGGAUAACAGCGUAAUAAUUUUGGAUAGCUCAUAUAGAUAAAAUAGUUUGCGACCUCGAUGUUGGAUUAGGAUUCUUUUUUGGUGAAGAAGUUAAAAAAAGAAGUUUGUUCAACUUUU
This 242-nucleotide ribosomal RNA is filed under the name Ixodes scapularis (black-legged tick). Its description in RNAcentral is "partial 16S ribosomal RNA". The record is from RNAcentral. Lineage: Eukaryota; Metazoa; Arthropoda; Arachnida; Ixodida; Ixodidae.